This 878-nucleotide ribosomal RNA is filed under the name Micractinium reisseri. RNAcentral's name for it is "eukaryotic LSU rRNA". It matches the Rfam family "Eukaryotic large subunit ribosomal RNA", at positions 49 to 949 of the family's 3401-position model. Lineage: Eukaryota; Viridiplantae; Chlorophyta; Trebouxiophyceae; Chlorellales; Chlorellaceae. The record is from RNAcentral.
AGCGGAGGAAAAGAAACUAACUAGGAUGCCCUUAGUAACGGCGAGCGAACCGGGCAAAGCCCAACUUGAAAAUCUCCAGCCUCCGGCUGGCGAAUUGUAGUCUAGAGAAGUGCUCUCUGCCCCAGUCUGGUCCCAAGUCCCCUGGAAAGGGGCGUCAGAGAGGGUGAGAACCCCGUUGGGUCCGGAUCCUGGUGCUCCACGAGACGCUUUCGAAGAGUCGGGUUGUUUGGGAAUGCAGCCCAAAGCAGGUGGUAAAUCCCAUCUAAGGCUAAAUACAGACGGGAGACCGAUAGCGAACAAGUACCGCGAGGGAAAGAUGAAAAGAACUUUGAAAAGAGAGUUAAAAAGUACUUGAAAUUGUUGAGAGGGAAGCGAUUGGAUCCUACGGGUGCGCCCAGGCACACGCCUGCCUAACGGUUGGCUGAAUGCGCUGGGUGCUGGUCAGCAUGGGUUGACCGGGCGGGACAAACCCGGGGGUUGUUACCCCGGCUAUGUCGCCUGGUCGACUGAGGAAUGAAGGGCGCUCUCUGAGUCCUCCGGGAACUGCGUCCUCAAGAUGCUGGCGGAAAGGUUCCAAUCGGCCCGUCUUGAAACACGGACCAAGGAGUCUAACAUGCAUGCGAGCUGGUGGGUGGCAAACCCAUGAAGCGUAAGUAACCUGACUGGUGGGAUGGCCUGUGCCUGCACCAUCGACCGACCAUGAUCUUCUGUGAAAGGUUCGAGUACGAGCAUGCCUGUUGGGACCCGAAAGAUGGUGAACUAUGCCUGAGCAGGGCGAAGCCAGAGGAAACUCUGGUGGAGGCUCGUAGAUGUGCUGACGUGCAAAUCGCUUUUCGGACUUGGGUAUAGGGGCGAAAGACUAAUCGAACCUUCUAGUA